AUUCAUCAAUAACCACCUGAAGAACGGUAGAGGCAAGAGACCAUGGAAGUACUGGAUUGGCCUGGAUGACAUGAACACGGAGGGUGAGUUCAUGUGGAACGACAGGACCCCGCUGGGAAGCUAUCGUAACUUCCGGUCCGACAGUGCUCACGUGGACAUGGACUGUGUGGUACUGCGGAGGACUCGGCGCGAGUCGCAUUGGGACCCCAUGGACUGCGGUGUGAGGCGGCCCUACAUCUGCCAGUUCGAUUACAAUGUGAACCAGUAAGAUGAUGAUGCACGUGACGUCAGCAGAACAGCCUUAUGACGUCAGGACAACAUUAUAGCAGCACCAGAAUGUUGUCAAAGUUAUACAAGUAAUGAAAGAGCCUUGCCUUGAACAUUAUAGCAUAUAUCAUAUCAUAUCAUAUCAUAUAUCAUAUAUAUUCUUUUGAUUAGAUACUACAAAACAAUAUAAUACUGAUCUGCUACUUGCUACAUAUAGUAUUAGUGCUUUGUAAGAUUUCUUUGAUUCCAAAGUUAAUGCAUGCUAAUUGUAAUUAACAC
This is a long non-coding RNA of Branchiostoma floridae (Florida lancelet), 546 nucleotides long. RefSeq lists it as uncharacterized. The transcript has 3 exons. Lineage: Eukaryota; Metazoa; Chordata; Leptocardii; Amphioxiformes; Branchiostomatidae. The record is from RefSeq and is a predicted model, not a curated record.